UCGAGAGGCUUCGGCAAUGGGGGAAACCCUGACCGAGCGACGCCGCGUGGAGGAUGAAGGCCCUUGGGUUGUAAACUCCUUUCGUGGGGGAAGAAUGUACCCGAGGCAAAUAAUCUCGAGUAUUGACGGUACCCCAAGAAGAAGCUCCGGCUAACUCCGUGCCAGCCGCCGCGGUAAUACGGGGGGAGCAAGCGUUGUUCGGAAUCACUGGGCGUAAAGGGAGUCUAGGCGGUUUGGUAAGUGGGAUGUGAAAUGCCCGGGCUCACCCCGGGACCUGCAUCCCAAACUGCUGAGCUUGAGUACAGGAGAGGGUGGGGGAAUUCCAGGUGUAGCGGUGAAGUGCGUAGAUAUCUGGAGGAACACCGGUGGCGAAGGCGCCCACCUGGCCUGCUACUGACGCUGAAGCUCGAAAGCUAGGGGAGCAAAC
RNAcentral lists this ribosomal RNA (427 nucleotides) under uncultured bacterium. RNAcentral's name for it is "bacterial SSU rRNA". It matches the Rfam family "Bacterial small subunit ribosomal RNA", at positions 355 to 773 of the family's 1533-position model. The record is from RNAcentral.